GAACUGCGAUAAGUAGUGUGAAUUGCAGAAUUCAGUGAAUCAUCGAGUCUUUGAACGCACAUUGCGCCCCCUGGCAUUCCGGGGGGCAUGCCUGUCCGAGCGUCAUUGCUACCCUCAAGCACGGCUUGUGUGUUGGGCCGCCGUCCGCCCCGCUCCGCGGGGGGGACGCGCCCGAAAGGCAGCGCCGGCCGGUCCCACGGAGCGGGUGACGAAGCCCCAUACGCUCGAGGACCGGACGCGGUGCCGGCGCCAGGCUUCGUCAACCACUUCUUUUCUAGGUUGACCUCGGAUCAGGUAGGGAUACCCGCUGAACUUAA
This 317-nucleotide unclassified non-coding RNA is filed under the name uncultured Trichocomaceae. Its description in RNAcentral is "sequence contains ITS1". The stretch from base 1 to 105 matches the Rfam family "5.8S ribosomal RNA", at positions 50 to 154 of the family's 154-position model. Lineage: Eukaryota; Fungi; Ascomycota; Eurotiomycetes; Eurotiales; Trichocomaceae. The record is from RNAcentral.